GCUUCCCUCACCUUGAGCCGUUGAUCUGUCGCCACCGCUACAAGGGCUUGUCGCUGGAGCCACGACUGUCACUGAGCUUCCGUCGCCGCUGCCGUUCAAGCCGUUGCUGCCGUCGAUUUGGAGUUGCUGCGAUUGGAGCCACUAGCGGGGGUGAGUUGCUACUGCCCUGUUGCCGUCCUAAUCAUAUUCAACGUCUACUGCCCUGAGCUGUUUCUGCCCUUGAGUUUGUUGAGUUCGGAUUUCUUGUGCUACUGUAACUGUCAUUACUGCUGUGGGAAUCAACGUUUCUGUUUGGC
This 296-nucleotide long non-coding RNA is filed under the name Arachis ipaensis. Its description in RNAcentral is "long non-coding RNA (AIPA_LNC000905)". Lineage: Eukaryota; Viridiplantae; Streptophyta; Magnoliopsida; Fabales; Fabaceae. The record is from RNAcentral.